UUUAUCGAUGUGCAUGAGUAGCUUUGGACCCGUGUCUGCCGGUAGAUCUCCCGUUGUAGUUCGGCUGACUAUCGGUGCUAUGUCCUGUCACUUUUGUAGUUUUUUACUGCUGAUUGAAACCAUGGCUUGCGUGCUAGUACCCGACCUACGGGAAGUAGUGCUCCGAAUAAUUGUUGCCUCAUGGUGGACGCCCUUAGGGUGUGCCACUGUGACUGAAUAGCGUUUGUGGCGUUGCCUCAUACAACAAUCAUAUAAUGUGCCUGUUGAUAUCAUGGCAAUCUCACUCUCGCUUUUGGUUUACGAUGCUGCUCACGAUAAAGGCUCGAGGCCCUUCCGGUUGCCUCGAUCCGACUCAAUGCUCUCUUCGAAAAUGAUGAUUGCCGAGAUAUUUUUGCUUAUAGCUUUCCACGGUUCCGUGGUAGGUUAAGUAAACCUAUGCUCUGGCGGCCCUCAUUGACGAAGAGACAUGCCCGCUCAAAAGCGACAGCCGGCUCGGUUGCUGUGUUUGCCUUUCCACGUAAGUGGAAGCGUAUUGCAACUUCUGAUGUCGGACGUCACCGAGGACGUGCU
This 570-nucleotide unclassified non-coding RNA is filed under the name Bromus pumilio. Its description in RNAcentral is "partial external transcribed spacer 1". The record is from RNAcentral. Lineage: Eukaryota; Viridiplantae; Streptophyta; Magnoliopsida; Poales; Poaceae.